GUGGGGAAUAUUGGACAAUGGGCGAAAGCCUGAUCCAGCCAUGCCGCGUGUGUGAAGAAGGUCUUCGGAUUGUAAAGCACUUUAAGUUGGGAGGAAGGGCAGUAAGUUAAUACCUUGCUGUUUUGACGUUACCGACAGAAUAAGCACCGGCUAACUUCGUGCCAGCAGCCGCGGUAAUACGAAGGGUGCAAGCGUUAAUCGGAAUUACUGGGCGUAAAGCGCGCGUAGGUGGUUUUGUAAGUUGGAGGUGAAAUCCCCGGGCUCAACCUGGGAACUGCCUCCAAAGCUGGAUGACUAGAGUACGGUAGAGGGUAGUGGAAUUUCCUGUGUAGCGGUGAAAUGCGUAGAUAUAGGAAGGAACACCAGUGGCGAAGGCGACUACCUGGACUGAUACUGACACUGAGGUGCGAAAGCGUGGGGAGCAAACAGGAUUAGAAACCCGUGUAGUCC
This 450-nucleotide ribosomal RNA is filed under the name uncultured bacterium. RNAcentral describes it as "partial 16S ribosomal RNA". It matches the Rfam family "Bacterial small subunit ribosomal RNA", at positions 354 to 796 of the family's 1533-position model. The record is from RNAcentral.